Molecule: non-coding RNA, 108 nt
Organism: Canis lupus familiaris (dog)
Lineage: Eukaryota; Metazoa; Chordata; Mammalia; Carnivora; Canidae
Source: Rfam
GUGCUCACUUCGGUAGGACAUGUCCUGAAAUCGGGACGGGACAGAGAAGCUUUGCAUGGUGUCUGUGCAAGGAUGACACGCACAUUCCGGGAAGAGGUUCACGUUUUG